UGGCUCAGGAUGAACGCUGGCGGCGUGCCUAAUACAUGCAAGUCGAGCGAAUGGAUUGAGAGCUUGCUCUCAAGAAGUUAGCGGCGGACGGGUGAGUAACACGUGGGUAACCUGCCCAUAAGACUGGGAUAACUCCGGGAAACCGGGGCUAAUACCGGAUAAUAUUUUGAACUGCAUGGUUCGAAAUUGAAAGGCGGCUUCGGCUGUCACUUAUGGAUGGACCCGCGUCGCAUUAGCUAGUUGGUGAGGUAACGGCUCACCAAGGCAACGAUGCGUAGCCGACCUGAGAGGGUGAUCGGCCACACUGGGACUGAGACACGGCCCAGACUCCUACGGGAGGCAGCAGUAGGGAAUCUUCCGCAAUGGACGAAAGUCUGACGGAGCAACGCCGCGUGAGUGAUGAAGGCUUUCGGGUCGUAAAACUCUGUUGUUAGGGAAGAACAAGUGCUAGUUGAAUAAGCUGGCACCUGAC
RNAcentral lists this ribosomal RNA (472 nucleotides) under Bacillus sp. R-45534. RNAcentral's name for it is "bacterial SSU rRNA". It matches the Rfam family "Bacterial small subunit ribosomal RNA", at positions 20 to 483 of the family's 1533-position model. The record is from RNAcentral. Lineage: Bacteria; Bacillati; Bacillota; Bacilli; Caryophanales; Bacillaceae.